CAAAGCGUCACACUGCAGACACCAGUUUAGUUGAGUAGGCUUGGACGUCGUGGGGAUUUUGCGAGUGAUUUAUUGAACAUCGAGCUAACAGACAGCGCGGGAAUGAUGAGAGCGGUCGUCUGCACUGCUCGCGAGAGAAAGCGAUGUCGGUGCUAUUGCUCGAUCAUCGCAGAUCUUGGAUUGUUGUACCUCGAUGGCGUUAAAGGGCUUGAAAAAGGAAUGAAAACCUCAAAGAUCUUCGUUUUGUCAUAUUAGAUGAGGAUAGGACCGUGCGUCGAACGUUUGGAUUUGCCCUCCUAUUCCUCUGGGUUCCCUAUCAAGAUUUGAACCAGUUCCACCCACGUGACAGUUCAGAGCGACACGGACUGAACAAAGGGCGCCCCCACUCAAGCUCCUUGGCAAACUGCAGAGAUAGCUGGCGUGUGGGAAU
Molecule: long non-coding RNA, 430 nt
Organism: Aplysia californica (California sea hare)
Lineage: Eukaryota; Metazoa; Mollusca; Gastropoda; Aplysiida; Aplysiidae
Exons: 3
Source: RefSeq, a predicted model, not a curated record